AUAAUACGUUGCUGCUUCUCUCCACAGGGAAGCUUGGACAACAUCAGUAUCAUCCUGCUGUGCUUCCCUGGAGCCCCCCAGCUGUCAGCGGAGGCAUUACACCAGGAAGCUGAACUGGAGGACCUGCUGGAGUCCAAAGUGGCAGAAAUUUAUGAUGAGUUGUGUGCUCGAGGAGAGGAACCUGACCUGCUGUCUGUCCUCACAGUCCUCGCUUCCACUGUCAUCCCAGGAUUACCACCAGGUGGAGGCAUACAGAGCAAAAGGAACUGCAUUAUUUCCGCUUACUAUCAACAAAGAGAGACACACAAGCCCACAUCACCAAAUGGUCUGGGAGAAUCCUGAGAAGUUUGCCUCCAGUGAUCCAUGAAGAGACUGUCAUUAAAGUCCAUGUUCAAACAGUUUUCUUCUUUAUGUGCAAUUUGAUGAAACAGGGAGAAGGUGAACAGCGGUCAUGUUUGUUUACGUCAUGCUAACAAUUAGCAUUGUGCCAUCAAAGAUACAAUGCAAAAAUCUAAAGUCUGAUACAUAAACAUAUAUAUUUAUAUAAGGACAUUUUGUAAAACGUUCUCAGCGACACUGACCCAGCAACAAACCUCUGCCUCAUAUUCAGUGAACAGACACUACAGAUGUUUAAGUCAAAUAAAGGCCUGUUAAACUGAAUAAUCAACUGUGAAAUUCACAAUAGGAUAGGAAGUGUAAGUUCAUGUAGUGAUGUAUUUUAAAUAUGAUGUUUUCAUGAAUAGAUAUAAUUAAAUAAUGAUUCAAAGAUAGUUUGCCUGCCUUUCAUAUCCUGGAAGGAAAGUUGUGAAACACUGUCAGUGCUAACCAAUAGCUAAGCCUGUGCUAAUGUGCAAUAUCCAUUUGUUACAAGAGGAGAUGCUAACAGCUAAUGGGAGAGCACAAUUUGUAAAAACAAAAUAUUGUUUUUUGUUCUUUACGGCUGGAAGUGACAGGCAUUUUCUUUUUCUUCUUCUGUAAAUUAAGUGACAACUCAAUCAUGGAAAAAAUACAUCAUCUUUUUUCUAAACGUGUAGAAUAAAAUCCAGUUUGCUAGGGUGUUGUUUGGAAAUGUAUUUUUUUGUUGCAAAUAAAAGUUACCUCUACAGUUUUAUUGUGUAGAAAUUUAAUAAAGUAUCCAAA
Solea senegalensis (Senegalese sole) is the source of this 1140-nucleotide long non-coding RNA. RefSeq lists it as uncharacterized. The record is from RefSeq and is a predicted model, not a curated record. The transcript has 4 exons. NCBI's taxonomy places the organism in Eukaryota, Metazoa, Chordata, Actinopteri, Pleuronectiformes, Soleidae.